GAAAGCUUAUGAUUAUAAUGGAAGCCAUACUGAGAUGGGUAAUUCAUUUCAAUCGGGAAUCUGCUUCAAAAUUUUGUGCUUGGCUCAUUUUGUGAAGCUCUGCCAUGGUCACCAAACGGGUGGCAAGAAAUCAGCAAGAAUAGCUCAAGCACGAAGUAGACAAAGGAAGCUUGCGGUUGAACCUCCACAUUCUAAUCAUAAGCUUUCAGCAAAAGAUUAGCAGUAAGCAUUAAGGUUCCAAUUGAGAUCAUUCCCAGGAAAGAAGGAGAUGUUCAGGGUAGUUGGUGAAGGGCGAAUUGGGUAGAACAAGACCCAUAAAAUUUCUGUAUUACACCUUAAAACCAAGAAAACACCUAGCCUGAAGGAAAUAUAAGCCAUCCAACAGUCAACUAUAUCCCAGAUUCUGUAGUUCAAUUUUGAAUUCUCUCCUAAUCUAAUCAAACUAAAGCUCAAAUAGAUAGCAGCCACCAGAUUCCAUGGCAACAAGACU
This 490-nucleotide unclassified non-coding RNA is filed under the name Hevea brasiliensis (rubber tree). Lineage: Eukaryota; Viridiplantae; Streptophyta; Magnoliopsida; Malpighiales; Euphorbiaceae. The record is from RNAcentral.